GACGAACUGUACGAACGCUAUUCGGAAUUACUGGGCUUAAAGGGUGCGUAGGCGGCGCAGUAAGUUGGGUGUGAAAUCCCUCGGCUUAACCGAGGAAUUGCGCCCAAAACUACUGUGCUCGAGGGAGAUAGAGGUGAGCGGAACUUAGGGUGGAGCGGUGAAAUGCGUUGAUAUCCUAAGGAACACCGGUGGCGAAAGCGGCUCACUGGAUCUCUUCUGACGCUGAGGCACGAAAGCCAGGGGAGCAAACGGG
This 253-nucleotide ribosomal RNA is filed under the name uncultured bacterium. Its description in RNAcentral is "partial 16S ribosomal RNA". It matches the Rfam family "Bacterial small subunit ribosomal RNA", at positions 524 to 776 of the family's 1533-position model. The record is from RNAcentral.